UAGCCGUAAACGAUACUCGCUAGGUGUCGGCCACGGUGCGACCGUUGUCGGUGCCGUAGGGAAGCCGUGAAGCGAGCCACCUGGGAAGUACGGCCGCAAGGCUGAAACUUAAAGGAAUUGGCGGGGGGAGCACCACAAGAGGUGGAGGCUGCGGUUCAAUUGGACUCAACGCCGGAAACUCAUCGGGAGCGACAGCAGUAUGAUUGCCAGGUUGAUGACCUUGCUUGACAAGCUGAGAGGAGGUGCAUGGCGUAGUCGUGU
Molecule: ribosomal RNA, 261 nt
Filed under: uncultured archaeon
Lineage: Archaea
Description: partial 16S ribosomal RNA
Rfam family: Archaeal small subunit ribosomal RNA
Source: RNAcentral